RNAcentral lists this ribosomal RNA (236 nucleotides) under uncultured Glomus. Its description in RNAcentral is "partial 18S ribosomal RNA". It matches the Rfam family "Eukaryotic small subunit ribosomal RNA", at positions 656 to 884 of the family's 1831-position model. Lineage: Eukaryota; Fungi; Glomeromycota; Glomeromycetes; Glomerales; Glomeraceae. The record is from RNAcentral.
GAAUCAAUGGAUCGGUCAUGCCAUUGGUGUGUACUGGUCCUAUUGGUUCUCACCUUCUAAGGAACCUUAAUGUCAUUAAUUUGAUGUUUUGGGGAAUUAGGACUGUUACCUUGAAAAAAUUAGAGUGUUUAAAGCAGGCUAACGCUUGAAUACAUUAGCAUGGAAUAAUGAAAUAGGACAUCGCAUUCUAUUUUGUUGGUUUCUAGGAUCGAUGUAAUGAUUAAUAGGGAUAGUUG